Long non-coding RNA from Homo sapiens (human), 593 nucleotides. The record is from Ensembl. Lineage: Eukaryota; Metazoa; Chordata; Mammalia; Primates; Hominidae.
GGGGAGCAUCUGACAUCCUGGAACAGCACCCCACACCUCCAGGGGGAGCAUCUGACAGCCUGGAGCAACACCCCACACCUCCAGGGGAGCAUCUGACAGCCUGGAACAGCACUCCACACCUCCAGGGGAGCAUCUGACAGCAUGGACAAGUCCUGCCCCCCGGUUAGUGUCUGAAUUCCUGGAAUAUGUGCUGUCCUUUUCCACCAGAGGAACCAGGAGUAUGGGAGGAACAUGAAAGUGGACAAGGAACGUGACCAUUGAAGCACCACAGGGAGGGGUUUAGACCUCUGGAUGACUGUGGGCAGGCCUGGAUGAUAUCCAGCCUUCCAUAAGAAGCUGGUGGAGCAGAGUGUUCCCUGACUCCUCCAAGUAAAGGAGACUCCCUUUCCCGGUCUGCUCAGUAAUGGGUGCCUUCCCAGACACUGGUGUUACCACUUGACCAAGGGGCCCUCAAGCAGCCCUUAUGCGGGUGUGACAGAGGGCUCACCUCUUGCCUUCUAUUCACUUCUCACAAUGUCCCUUCAGCACCUGACCCUACACCCACUGGUUAUUACUAGAUUAUGUUAGUAAUGCAACAAAAAGUAAUAUUAAAA